UUUUAUGAGAGUUUGAUCCUGGCUCAGGACGAACGCUGGCGGCGUGCCUAAUACAUGCAAGUCGUACGCUUCUUUUUCCACCGGAGCUUGCUCCACCGGAAAAAGAAGAGUGGCGAACGGGUGAGUAACACGUGGGUAACCUGCCCAUCAGAAGGGGAUAACACUUGGAAACAGGUGCUAAUACCGUAUAACAAUCGAAACCGCAUGGUUUUGAUUUGAAAGGCGCUUUCGGGUGUCGCUGAUGGAUGGACCCGCGGUGCAUUAGCUAGUUGGUGAGGUAACGGCUCACCAAGGCCACGAUGCAUAGCCGACCUGAGAGGGUGAUCGGCCACAUUGGGACUGAGACACGGCCCAAACUCCUACGGGAGGCAGCAGUAGGGAAUCUUCGGCAAUGGACGAAAGUCUGACCGAGCAACGCCGCGUGAGUGAAGAAGGUUUUCGGAUCGUAAAACUCUGUUGUUAGAGAAGAACAAGGAUGAGAGUAACUGUUCAUCCCUUGACGGUAUCUAACCAGAAAGCCACGGCUAACUACGUGCCAGCAGCCGCGGUAAUACGUAGGUGGCAAGCGUUGUCCGGAUUUAUUGGGCGUAAAGCGAGCGCAGGCGGUUUCUUAAGUCUGAUGUGAAAGCCCCCGGCUCAACCGGGGAGGGUCAUUGGAAACUGGGAGACUUGAGUGCAGAAGAGGAGAGUGGAAUUCCAUGUGUAGCGGUGAAAUGCGUAGAUAUAUGGAGGAACACCAGUGGCGAAGGCGGCUCUCUGGUCUGUAACUGACGCUGAGGCUCGAAAGCGUGGGGAGCAAACAGGAUUAGAUACCCUGGUAGUCCACGCCGUAAACGAUGAGUGCUAAGUGUUGGAGGGUUUCCGCCCUUCAGUGCUGCAGCUAACGCAUUAAGCACUCCGCCUGGGGAGUACGACCGCAAGGUUGAAACUCAAAGGAAUUGACGGGGGCCCGCACAAGCGGUGGAGCAUGUGGUUUAAUUCGAAGCAACGCGAAGAACCUUACCAGGUCUUGACAUCCUUUGACCACUCUAGAGAUAGAGCUUCCCCUUCGGGGGCAAAGUGACAGGUGGUGCAUGGUUGUCGUCAGCUCGUGUCGUGAGAUGUUGGGUUAAGUCCCGCAACGAGCGCAACCCUUAUUGUUAGUUGCCAUCAUU
Molecule: ribosomal RNA, 1154 nt
Filed under: Enterococcus faecium
Lineage: Bacteria; Bacillati; Bacillota; Bacilli; Lactobacillales; Enterococcaceae
Also listed under: 1 other name
Description: bacterial SSU rRNA
Rfam family: Bacterial small subunit ribosomal RNA
Source: RNAcentral